UACGGAGGGGGCUAGCGUUGUUCGGAAUUACUGGGCGUAAAGCGCGCGUAGGCGGACCUGCAAGUCGGGGGUGAAAGCCCGAGGCUCAACCUCGGAACUGCCUUCGAUACUGCGGGUCUCGAGUCCGGGAGAGGUGAGUGGAAUUCCUAGUGUAGAGGUGAAAUUCGUAGAUAUUAGGAAGAACACCAGUGGCGAAGGCGGCUCACUGGCCCGGAACUGACGCUGAGGUGCGAAAGCGUGGGGAGCAAACAGG
This 253-nucleotide ribosomal RNA is filed under the name uncultured bacterium. Its description in RNAcentral is "partial 16S ribosomal RNA". It matches the Rfam family "Bacterial small subunit ribosomal RNA", at positions 524 to 776 of the family's 1533-position model. The record is from RNAcentral.